GUCUAUGGCCAUGCCACCCUGAACACGCUCGAUCCCCCCUGAUCUCAGAAACUAAGCAGGGUUGGGCCUGGUUAGUACUUGGAUGGACAACCACCUAGGAAGACCAGGUGUGUAGGCA
RNAcentral lists this ribosomal RNA (118 nucleotides) under Pteropus alecto (black flying fox). The record is from RNAcentral. Lineage: Eukaryota; Metazoa; Chordata; Mammalia; Chiroptera; Pteropodidae.